UUAGGUUAGGCAGAUAAAUUUCUGUUACCAUGUAAUAUAUAUACUCUAUAAACAAUACAUAAUACAUUCGUUUCUUUUAUAAGAGUUAAUUUAAUAUUGUUGAAUCCCACAAAGAUGAUGACAUUUCAAACCACAGUACAUUACAUUGAUGCAAGUAGAGAGAGAUGGAUGAAGAUCUCUAAUCACCUGUAAUUGCAAAUGGAAAUACUACUAAAUAAAUAUCUCUCGGCUACAUAAAAGAUAUUUCAAACCUCCCAUAAAGGCCUCUCAUCCCCAUGGGCCACUGCAUAAGCCACACUUCAAUUGCUUUUCUUCUAUGUACAUAUACAAUUUAAUAUUCCCUUUGAUUUUUCAACAACUCCCCUCAUUUGCUUACUAUAUUCUUUUCUUCUUUAUUAUUAUCGAUGGCUUCAUUUGGAUUUGACACCUAACUACUUCCAGUCCCAAACAUAAUAUUCAAAACAAAAUAAGCCCAAUUAAUCAAUCUUAGUUCCAUACAUUCAUCAAUAUUCACAAUUUACACAUAUCAUAUCCCAAGCGUCGGUGCCUUUCGGCUUUCCGUACACUUCAAGACACUCCAAUUUUUCUUUUUUUUUUUUAAAUCAGACAAAAUAUAACCCAGAUAUUACAAAUUAAACACUUUUUUUUCCAUUUCUGAUCAAACCCACCUCCGGCGAUCAAACCGGAUUAGGCAGCAACCCGUCGAGUUGUCAGAUGGCGAAGUGGCGAUUGAACUCCGGUAGAAACCAGAAUCUGGGUGGUGGUGGAAGAGGUAGGUGAUUUUGAAGAAGGAGAGGCGUCGGAUUGGAAUUGAAAUCGGCCGGAAUCACCACUGGGAAGUCUGAUGUAGGACGUGGAAGGGGAAUCGCAAAGCCAAGAUCGGAUGGCGGGUACUUGUUUUUCGUUCUUGUAUUGAACAAUAGCUUUGUAAACAAAUGGAAUUAGACCUUCCAUUUUGCGAGACAGAGGAGGGGAGAAAAAAAGGAAGAGAGAGAGAGAGAGAGAGAGAUUUAAAAUUCGAAAGUUGAAGGGAAAAUGGAAGAGAGGGGAUUGGUUUAAAAUGGAAGAGAAGGGUUGUGAUGACGUGGCGUAAUAGUUAGGAGGCCAGCUGUUUACGCUAAGCCACGUAAGAUUAAGACAAAGAAAUAAAUCGAGAGGGCAUUGGUAAAAGUAAUAUUGAAAGCUCUAUCAUAACUACAACCCUUAUCCUCUCCCCCAAUAUUAUCCCACUUCCACCAAAUCUUACUCUAAUCUUCAAUUUGACUUCUUUUUUAAUUAAUCAUAUGCUUUGUUUUUUAUUAUUAUUUGCUUAAAACUUGGAUUUUAAAAUAUAAUAAAGUGGAAAAUUGUUUUGGUGAUUUAAAAAGAAGUGAAGCAAUGGACUUUAAUUGGAAAAAGAAACAUGUGGGCGUUUCUAGUUUUUAGGGUUUUAGGGUUGUUUUUCUUUAUUAAAAAACAAACAAAACAAAAUGGAGGGUUUGGAGGAAG
This 1488-nucleotide long non-coding RNA is filed under the name Cucumis sativus (cucumber). RNAcentral's name for it is "long non-coding RNA (CSAT_LNC001218)". The record is from RNAcentral. Lineage: Eukaryota; Viridiplantae; Streptophyta; Magnoliopsida; Cucurbitales; Cucurbitaceae.